Molecule: long non-coding RNA, 619 nt
Filed under: Fukomys damarensis (Damara mole-rat)
Lineage: Eukaryota; Metazoa; Chordata; Mammalia; Rodentia; Bathyergidae
Description: lncRNA (ENSFDAG00000031142.1)
Source: RNAcentral
GCUUCUCCGAGCCUGCGGAGCCCAGUCCCCUGCUGGAGGUCCCGCUGCUGAGCUCGAGGCUCCUGGGGGACAUCUUGGGGGGCGCUCUUGGGUGCAAAACAUAGCUCACCACCGCGAGCUAUGCACGCGGAGCUGGGCACACGCUCGGACCGGACACGGGCCCUGCCGACAGCAGGGUCAGGACGAGAUCACCUAGAUUCAGGUGGCCCUAGAGGCGGGGGCGACGGGCGUGGAGGAAGAGGACCCGCUGGAGACGGGCGCCUCCUGUCGACGGGCGUGGAGGAAGAGGACCCGCUGGAGACGGGCGCCUCCUGAGCUGCGGUGGUGGAGCCGCCAGCGCCCUCUCCGCACGGCACGACAGUGUGUGUGCAGAUGAGGCCCCGCGUCACGCUCCUGGGCCUCCGGGUUGGCUUUAUUCUCAGGAAGAUGGACUGGCAGCCCAGACCCACAUCCCAUCCGCUUGCCAGCACCAGCAAAGAGAGGCUCUGUCCUUCAGGUGGUUCCCACACUUCAGUGAGCUCUGCCUGGAACCCAUGACUGCUCAGGGAGUACCAGGAUCUGAUUGGCCAGCCUUGGUCAUGUGCCCCUGGGAGUGGGUGGGCGGGGCCGCCCAGCCCAG